RNAcentral lists this ribosomal RNA (575 nucleotides) under uncultured fungus. RNAcentral describes it as "eukaryotic LSU rRNA". The stretch from base 221 to 372 matches the Rfam family "5.8S ribosomal RNA". Lineage: Eukaryota; Fungi. The record is from RNAcentral.
AAGUCGUAACAAGGUUUCCGUAGGUGAACCUGCGGAAGGAUCAUUACCGAGUGAGGGCCCUCUGGGUCCAACCUCCCACCCGUGUUUAUCGUACCUUGUUGCUUCGGCGGGCCCGCCGUAAGGCCGCCGGGGGGCAUCUGCCCUCUGGCCCGCGCCCGCCGAAGACACCAUUGAACGCUGUCUGAAGAUUGCAGUCUGAGCAAUUAGUUAAAUAACUUAAAACUUUCAACAACGGAUCUCUUGGUUCCGGCAUCGAUGAAGAACGCAGCGAAAUGCGAUACGUAAUGUGAAUUGCAGAAUUCAGUGAAUCAUCGAGUCUUUGAACGCACAUUGCGCCCCUGGUAUUCCGGGGGCAUGCCUGUCCGAGCGUCAUUGCUGCCCUCAAGCACGGCUUGUGUGUUGGGCUCCGUCCUCCUCCCGGGGGACGGGCCCGAAAGGCAGCGGCGGCACCGCGUCCGGUCCUCGAGCGUAUGGGGCUUCGUCACCCACUCUGUAGGCCCGGCCGGCGCUUGCCGACACAUCAAUCUUUUUUCCAGGUUGACCUCGGAUCAGGUAGGGAUACCCGCUGAACUUAA